Orussus abietinus is the source of this 2934-nucleotide long non-coding RNA. RefSeq lists it as uncharacterized. The transcript is spliced from 4 exons. The record is from RefSeq and is a predicted model, not a curated record. Lineage: Eukaryota; Metazoa; Arthropoda; Insecta; Hymenoptera; Orussidae.
UUCUCUUCGCAUCCCUGGGUGGAAGAAGGUGGAAGAAGAUAAAUAUAUUGUUGAAAAUUCGACGAUUGUUUUCCACGGCGAAUUGCACCGGUACUCACCGCUGGAAUUUUGAGAUUUUCUAUGGAUUUCGAGGCGACGACAAUGGCCACGGAGAUGGGAUGUGGACGGGAUGGGAUGUGCUCUUGCGCCAAGAUUCUUUCAUCAAGUUCAUCCGGAAGGUCACGGGUCUACUCUGCUAGGCUUUUUACUGCGUGGGACACGCACCGGCUAUCUUGAAUCGAUCUGCGAAUUGGAUCGGUUCGCACCUGUUUUGGAGACAUAAAGACAAUCGAGGCCCCCCCAUGCUAAUCAGCACUCUUGAUUAGGGAUUUAAUGGGACCAACCGAGCCCUUGCAGAGCACACGGGAUCAAAGGAUUCGGUUUUUUUCUGCCGAUGAUUGUCAUAUCCGGAAGAUCUUACAGCCAGUUACCUGAUCCUAUUUACACCGUUGAUCAGCCACCGGGAGAACAAUGAAGUUUUCUGUUGAUGAUUGUCAUAUCCGGAAGAUCUUACAACCAGUUACCUGUUUCUGCAUACACCGUCGAUCAGCUACUGGGAGAAUACCAUCAAUGGAGUUUUCUGCCGUUUAUUGUCAUAUCCGGAAGAUCUUACAACCAGUUACCUAUUUCUACUUACAUCGCUGAUCAACUACUGGGAGAAUACCAUCAAUGCAGUUUUCUGCUGAUGAUUGUCAUACCCGGAAGAUCUUACAACCAGUUACCUGUUUCUGCAUACACCGUCGAUCAGCUACUGGGAGAAUACCAUCAAUGCAGUUUUCUACCGAUAAUUGUCAUAUCCGGAUGAUCUUACAACCAGUUACCCGUUUUUACUUACACUGCCGAUCAACUACCGGGAGAACACCAUCAAUGGAGUUGUCUGCCGAUUAUUGUCAUAUCCAGACGAUGUGACAACCAGUUACCCGUUUCUACUUACACUGCCGAUCAGUUAUCGGGAGAACGCUAUCAAUGGAGUUUUCUGCCGAUGAUUGCCAUACCAAGAUCUUACAACCAGUUACCUGUUUCUACUUACAUCGCCGAUCAACUACCAGGAGAACAUCAUCGAUGGAGUUUCAGCAGUCUUCGAUUACGUAGUAAGUGCACUAUGGAUAUAUCCGUAUCGAAUUCGAAGACUUCUCCCUCUGGUGGGAAGUUUGCAGCAUAAAUGGGGGAGUCAGAUCCUGUCCAUGUGUUUUGAAAUCGAUUCGCAAGAUAAUAGUUGGAUAAUUAACCGUUUGACUGCUACGCGGCGCAAAAGCGCUGCGUUCAUUUGUCUCGAAAACCGCGACGCAGUGCUUUUGCGCUGCGAGUUUCAGUGUUUCUUUGUUGCUCCGCAGUUUUCGUGCGUUCUUGCAAAAAUUGCUUAGCAGUCAAACGGUUAAGAAAAACGUAUUUUUAAGACGUAGAGUUAAAACAUUGGGUUGUCCCAAAAGUUCGUGCCGGUCUUCAUAUUAUAUAGAAAAAAUUACUUAAAAACGUGAAAUUUAACAAUAUUAGUCAUUAAUAUAAUUCCCUUCGUUGUUGGCAACGUCUUCUCAACGGUUAGGCAAUUCUUCGACCCCUCGUUUGAAAAAAAAGUAAGAUGCUAAAAUGUUGAACAUUUAAACGGUACGAAUUUAUGGGUCAACCCUGUACUUUAUUUCAAAGUUAAACUUCUACAAUUGUAAUUGCGUUUUAUCAGCGUAAGUUAGGUUUGGUACUAUCGUAAGAAAAUCCUCUCUUUUAAACCUGCUAAAGAAAUCUGUUCCUUUUUCGUUAUUUGGUAGAAAUUUGAGAAACGGAGAAUUUGAUGGCGAGAGGAGACGAGGAACUAAUCGGAGCUUCACGAAUUUUAGGACAGGAAUAAAAUGGUGAAAGUUCGAGACGAUUGAAUAAUAGGGACCAAGAGAAUGUCUGGUUGAUUAUUGAGAGCACAUAACGUUUUGUAACAAAUCUGCUUAGGCACAAAGCACACAGAAACUAUUGGACAUAUGUGCCCAUAAUUAUGAAAGUGGUCUAAGUCAAAAUUAACAAAAAAAAUGAGUUUAUCAGUUAUUUCACACCAUAUUAUUUCAAACGAAAUUAAUUCAAUGUAAUUUCGAAACAAAAAGUAUAUGACUUAGACCACUUUCAUAAUUAUGGGCACAUAUCAACUGUGGCAUUCUCUCACAUUAAACACAUGGGGCGGUACUCUUACCUCACUUUUAGCGUUAAAUCAUUAAUUUUAAUCAUUUAAAUGCUAUAUAUAAUAGACCUCAUUACCGCUAAAAAUGAGGAAUGUGUAUGAGCCAUGACUUGUCUUGUUCAUGGGGUAUGAGGUAUGUGUAUGAGCCUUGGUCUUGUUCAUGGCGUUUAGCCUUGGAUUCCUAAAAUUAUUCGCGUUUACACGACGCGUUCAGUGAGACACCCUGGUCUUGUGGCGAUGCAUAUACGUUAUGCCGAACCACAGUUUGCAAAUUGAAAUUUGAGCCAUGCAAGGCAAACACUUGCUCGCCGUUUGCGAAAAAGAGGGUCUUGGUUUGCACGGGACAGAAUCGACGUUUCUUGCAAACGGAUGGCAAGAAUUCGAUCUUGUUCAAUAUGCAGUUUCGUAUAAGCAAACUGACUAUGCAGCAUGUACAUUAAACACGUGUUCGCCGUUUGCGAAAAAGAGAUUCUCGUUUUGCACGGGGUAGAAUCGACGUUUCUUGCAAACGGAUGGCAAGAAUUCGACCUUGUUCAAUAUGCAGUUUCGUAUAAGCAAACUAACUAUGCAACAUGUACAUUAAACACGUGUUCGCCGUUUGCGAAAAAGAGAUUCUCGGUUUGCACGGGGUAGAAUCGACGUUUCUUGCAAACGGAUGGCAAGAAUUCGAUCUUGUUCAAUAUGCAGUUUCGUAUAAGCAAACUGACCAUGCAGCACGUUGUACAUUAACCACG